GCAAGGGAGUAUUUUCUUUUUAUGAAAAACAACAACAACACAAAACAAAAAAUAUUAAACCCAAAUAAUACUCUGGUGCUGCACUAGCUUUUCCAGUUUGAGCCAUCCAUGUCACCACACAGUGCUGCCUCACAUAUGCCUUCUCCAGCUUCACCUUCUGCAUAGGCCCUGACACGAUUCCAGCAGCCUCCUAACCAUGUGCUACUUUGAGACCCCCCCCCCAAAGAGUGAGCCUAGCUGCCAUAAGGGGUCAGUGAAGCCUUAUUUUUCACUGCUGCCACUGAAGCAGUCCCAGAUCAGCAUUCUACUGCACAGUGGUUUGGCAUGUGUAUUUAACAUCUGCCAAGAGGCAAAAGCUAAAACGAAAAGAGUGAUUGUGGUAUGCCUUCUUUCCCAUGCAGUUUGUUCCUGUGGAGUUAACACUUUUUUUUGUUUGUUCGUUUGUUCUUUUCCCCAGUUCUGCUGCUCUCUUCCUUCAACACAGCUCCAAUUAAGACUUUUGAGCCAGUAAGGUUGUUAACUUAAUCUUCCCAUCCAUAGAGGCAGUGAGGCAGGUCCCACAGUCCAUGGCUGUGCUCCAGUCCACUGUGACAACAGGAGCUCGGUGUCCUCCCAGGGAAAGGCAGCUCUCCAGGACCUUGUCCUCACCGUUCAACUUAAAAAUGACUCCCCCAGUUGAAGAACAUGUCAGCAUAUAGUUCCCCUCAGAGUCAAAGGCAA
Molecule: long non-coding RNA, 720 nt
Filed under: Gallus gallus (chicken)
Lineage: Eukaryota; Metazoa; Chordata; Aves; Galliformes; Phasianidae
Source: RNAcentral